CGCCAUAAUGUGUCGCUCCUCCCAGAAGAACGCGGAGUCCGGUCGCUUCAUCAUCUCGAAUUUGGACAGCCGCUUCAUGGCGUACACCUGGCUGGAGGACUUGUGCCGCACCAGCUGCACCUCUCCAAAGGCGCCGGCGCCGAUGAGUUUGAUAAAAUGGAAAUCCUCGACGUUCAUGCGCAGCUGAUUGAUCUGCAUUGCCAAUGACAUAACCACUCACAUUUGGCCGCAUACUGCUCGAUGUUCUUAAGCCGCCUCAGGGACUCGUGGUCACAAUCGCUGACCAAGGCCG
This is a non-coding RNA of Drosophila melanogaster (fruit fly), 292 nucleotides long. The record is from Ensembl. NCBI's taxonomy places the organism in Eukaryota, Metazoa, Arthropoda, Insecta, Diptera, Drosophilidae.